RNAcentral lists this ribosomal RNA (372 nucleotides) under uncultured organism. Its description in RNAcentral is "bacterial SSU rRNA". It matches the Rfam family "Bacterial small subunit ribosomal RNA", at positions 526 to 896 of the family's 1533-position model. The record is from RNAcentral.
CAGAGGGUGCAAACGUUGUUCGGAAUUACUGGGCGUAAAGCGUGUGUAGGCGGCCAAGCAAGUCGGAUGUGAAAGCCCUGGGCUCAACCCAGGAAGUGCACUCGAUACUGCCUGGCUCGAGUAUCGGAGAGGUUGGUGGAAUUCUCGGUGUAGAGGUGAAAUUCGUAGAUAUCGAGAGGAACACCGGUGGCGAAGGCGGCCAACUGGACGAAUACUGACGCUGAGACACGAAAGCGUGGGGAGCAAACAGGAUUAGAUACCCUGGUAGUCCACGCCGUAAACGAUGGGUGCUAGGUGUCACGGGCUUUGACUCCUGUGGUGCCGUAGCAAACGCAUUAAGCACCCCGCCUGGGAAGUACGGCCGCAAGGCUA